RNAcentral lists this ribosomal RNA (490 nucleotides) under uncultured bacterium. Its description in RNAcentral is "partial 16S ribosomal RNA". It matches the Rfam family "Bacterial small subunit ribosomal RNA", at positions 30 to 507 of the family's 1533-position model. The record is from RNAcentral.
AUUGAACGCUGGCGGCAGGCCUAACACAUGCAAGUCGAACGGUAACAGGAAGAAGCUUGCUUCUUUGCUGACGAGUGGCGGACGGGUGAGUAAUGUCUGGGAAACUGCCUGAUGGAGGGGGAUAACUACUGGAAACGGUAGCUAAUACCGCAUAACGUCGCAAGACCAAAAAGGGGGACCUUCGGGCCUCUUGCCAUCGGAUGUGCCCAGAUGGGAUUAGCUAGUAGGUGGGGUAACGGCUCACCUAGGCGACGAUCCCUAGCUGGUCUGAGAGGAUGACCAGCCACACUGGAACUGAGACACGGUCCAGACUCCUACGGGAGGCAGCAGUGGGGAAUAUUGCACAAUGGGCGCAAGCCUGAUGCAGCCAUUCCGCGUGUAUGAAGAAGGCCUUCGGGUUGUAAAGUACUUUCAGCGGGGAGGAAGGGAGUAAAGUUAAUACCUUUGCUCAUUGACGUUACCCGCAGAAGAAGCACCGGCUAACUCCGUG